RNAcentral lists this ribosomal RNA (253 nucleotides) under uncultured bacterium. Its description in RNAcentral is "partial 16S ribosomal RNA". It matches the Rfam family "Bacterial small subunit ribosomal RNA", at positions 524 to 776 of the family's 1533-position model. The record is from RNAcentral.
UACAGAGGUCUCAAGCGUUGUUCGGAUUCAUUGGGCGUAAAGGGUGCGUAGGCGGCGGGAGAAGUCUGGUGUGAAAUCCCGGGGCUCAACCUCGGAACGGCACUGGAUACUCUCUUGCUAGAGAUCUGGAGAGGAAACUGGAAUUUACGGUGUAGCAGUGAAAUGCGUAGAGAUCGUAAGGAAGACCAGUGGCGAAGGCGAGUUUCUGGACAGAUUCUGACGCUGAGGCACGAAGGCCAGGGGAGCAAACGGG